This 158-nucleotide ribosomal RNA is filed under the name Solenopsora sp. 2 AG-2013. Its description in RNAcentral is "5.8S ribosomal RNA". It matches the Rfam family "5.8S ribosomal RNA". From Rfam's summary of the family: 5.8S ribosomal RNA (5.8S rRNA) is a component of the large subunit of the eukaryotic ribosome. Lineage: Eukaryota; Fungi; Ascomycota; Lecanoromycetes; Lecanorales; Catillariaceae. The record is from RNAcentral.
UAAAACUUUCAACAACGGAUCUCUUGGUUCCGGCAUCGAUGAAGAACGCAGCGAAAUGCGACAAGUAAUGUGAAUUGCAGAAUUCAGUGAAUCAUCGAAUCUUUGAACGCACAUUGCGCCCUUUGGUAUUCCGAAGGGCAUGCCUGUCCGAGCGUCAU